Molecule: ribosomal RNA, 253 nt
Filed under: uncultured bacterium
Lineage: Bacteria
Description: partial 16S ribosomal RNA
Rfam family: Bacterial small subunit ribosomal RNA
Source: RNAcentral
UACGUAGGGGGCGAGCGUUGUCCGGAAUUACUGGGCGUAAAGGGCUCGUAGGCGGCCAACUAAGUCAGACGUGAAAUCCCUCGGCUUAACCGGGGAACUGCAUCUGAUACUGGAUGGCUUGAGAUUGGGAGAGGGAUGCGGAAUUCCAGGUGUAGCGGUGAAAUGCGUAGAUAUCUGGAGGAACACCGGUGGCGAAGGCGGCAUCCUGGACCAACACUGACGCUGAGGAGCGAAAGCCAGGGGAGCAAACGGG